This 301-nucleotide ribosomal RNA is filed under the name uncultured bacterium. Its description in RNAcentral is "partial 16S ribosomal RNA". It matches the Rfam family "Bacterial small subunit ribosomal RNA", at positions 509 to 808 of the family's 1533-position model. The record is from RNAcentral.
CAGCCGCCGCGGUAAAACGUAGGUGGCAAGCGUUGUCCGGAAUUAUUGGGCGUAAAGGGCUCGCAGGCGGUUUCUUAAGUCUGAUGUGAAAGCCCCCGGCUCAACCGGGGAGGGUCAUUGGAAACUGGAAACUUGAGUGCAGAAGAGGAGAGUGGAAUUCCACGUGUAGCGGUGAAAUGCGUAGAGAUGUGGAGGAACACCAGUGGCGAAGGCGACUCUCUGGUCUGUAGCUGACGCUGAGGAGCGAAAGCGUGGGGAGCGAACAGGAUUAGAUACCCGGGUAGUCCCUGUCUCUUAUACA